CUUCAUCCAAGUCGAUUCCCCAGAAGUUGAUGAAACGUGUUAUCGGGUCUCCAAGAGAGAAGUUUGGAAAAUUGCCAGCUCCUUGCACAAAGACUGAAAUGGGAUGGGCAGAGAAGUGUGUUGGUGGCGGUAAGAGAAAAAUGACUGAAACUGCAUCAUUUGUAUGAUUAAAAUCAUUGUGUGAAUUUUGAUUUCCCCCCCCUCCUUUCAGACAUUUGCGGAUGCUGUCAAGUCAAUGGACUUCUGUUGUAGUGGUUGCUUCAGUGAACAUUCAACGCUGUCGGUGAGUUUGGAAUUAAAGUGAAAACCAUCGACCGUUGAUUGUACCCUCCAGCUAACCAUCCUCCUCCUUACUUCAUGCUUUCAGGCCUUAACACCGAAGAUAGCAACCUAACCACCACAUGAUGUUUCUCCCCCACUCUCUCAAGCUUUACCACAAAAGGUCACAAUCAACAUUCAUUGCUGUCGGUGGGUUUAACUAUGUGGACAAGCUCACUGAACAAUGAAUGCAACUGUGGCCCCACAUUUUACAGUUGCCAUUGAGAGGCACAUCAGCUCUGAAAGCAGUAGUGAGAAGCAAACACUUCUUAUAGGCUAUAUUUUUAUGGUAAAAAAAAAAAAAAAUAGUUGGGGAUAGUCACUUUUUGCUUGCGUGUUUGUAAAUGUGUUUAACUUCGCUGACUAGGAAAAAAAACACCUCACUGCCUUUUUCUGAAAUAUUGUCCUCCCAGGGAUAAGCAUCGUUGAAACGACAGUCAGUAUAUAGGUGGAAACUAAUAACAACAUGAAGAAAUUUGUGUAUAUUCACUCCUAAGGACUCUGAGCAUAAGAGGAAAGAAUAUUUAAAUCUUAUGUUAACUAGGCAUUGUGGAAUAGUUCAAAAAUUUCUUCUAUGCUUGUCACAGCAAAUGCAAAUGGGAGCCAGAGUUCAAAGACAUAGAUAAAAUAUUAUAUCAAAGGAUUCAUUAAUUUUAUACGAAACUGAUCUUAAGCACCUAAAUAAAUAUUAUUAGACAGCAAAUACUACUAUAUUU
RNAcentral lists this long non-coding RNA (1034 nucleotides) under Calidris pugnax (ruff). RNAcentral describes it as "lncRNA (ENSCPUG00000001415.1)". The stretch from base 256 to 338 matches the Rfam family "mir-181 microRNA precursor family". The record is from RNAcentral. Lineage: Eukaryota; Metazoa; Chordata; Aves; Charadriiformes; Scolopacidae.